This 606-nucleotide ribosomal RNA is filed under the name Papiliotrema laurentii. Its description in RNAcentral is "eukaryotic LSU rRNA". It matches the Rfam family "Eukaryotic large subunit ribosomal RNA", at positions 52 to 647 of the family's 3401-position model. The record is from RNAcentral. Lineage: Eukaryota; Fungi; Basidiomycota; Tremellomycetes; Tremellales; Rhynchogastremaceae.
GGAGGAAAAGAAACUAACAAGGAUUCCCCUAGUAACGGCGAGUGAACCGGGAAGAGCUCAAAUUUGAAAUCUGGCGUCCUCAGGGCGUCCGAGUUGUAAUCUAUAGAGGCGUUUUCCGUGCCGGACCGUGUCCAAGUUCCUUGGAACAGGAUAUCAAAGAGGGUGACAAUCCCGUACUUGACACGACGACCGGUGCUCUGUGAUACGUCUUCUACGAGUCGAGUUGUUUGGGAAUGCAGCUCAAAAUGGGUGGUGAGUUCCAUCUAAAGCUAAAUAUUGGCGAGAGACCGAUAGCGAACAAGUACCGUGAGGGAAAGAUGAAAAGCACUUUGGAAAGAGAGUUAAACAGUACGUGAAAUUGUUGAAAGGGAAACGAUUGAAGUCAGUCGUGACCGAGAGGCUCAGCCGGUUCUGCCGGUGUAUUCCCCUCGGUCGGGUCAACAUCAGUUUUGUCCGGUGGAUAAGGGCAGUAGGAAGGUGGCACCCUCGGGUGUGUUAUAGCCUGCCGUCGCAUACAUCGGGUGAGACUGAGGAACGCAGCUCGCCUUUAUGGCCGGGGUUCGCCCACGUCCGAGCUUAGGAUGUUGACAUAAUGGCUUUAAACGA